Molecule: non-coding RNA, 110 nt
Filed under: Bradyrhizobium erythrophlei
Lineage: Bacteria; Pseudomonadati; Pseudomonadota; Alphaproteobacteria; Hyphomicrobiales; Nitrobacteraceae
Description: SAM-I-IV sequence
Rfam family: SAM-I/IV (S-adenosyl methionine) riboswitch aptamer
About the family: It is found upstream of a number of genes which code for proteins involved in methionine or cysteine biosynthesis. It has been found mostly in the order Actinomycetales.
Source: RNAcentral
GAAAUGCAUCUCGACGAAGGCUGGCACCUUCACCAACCUGCCCCACUGCGGCAAGGUGGUUCCACAAAAGUGGGAUGUGGCCGUUGUUAGUGGCAAACUUGGCAGAGCGG